RNAcentral lists this ribosomal RNA (388 nucleotides) under Trametes sp. Its description in RNAcentral is "partial small subunit ribosomal RNA". It matches the Rfam family "Eukaryotic small subunit ribosomal RNA", at positions 582 to 975 of the family's 1831-position model. Lineage: Eukaryota; Fungi; Basidiomycota; Agaricomycetes; Polyporales; Polyporaceae. The record is from RNAcentral.
AUUCCAGCUCCAAUAGCGUAUAUUAAAGUUGUUGCAGUUAAAAAGCUCGUAGUUGAACUUCAGACCUGGCCGGGCGGUCCGCCUAACGGUGUGUACUGUCUGGCUGGGUCUUACCUCUUGGUGAGCCGGCAUGCCCUUCACUGGGUGUGUCGGGGAACCAGGACUUUUACCUUGAGAAAAUUAGAGUGUUCAAAGCAGGCUUAUGCCCGAAUACAUUAGCAUGGAAUAAUAAAAUAGGACGUGCGGUUCUAUUUUGUUGGUUUCUAGAGUCGCCGUAAUGAUUAAUAGGGAUAGUUGGGGGCAUUAGUAUUCAGUUGCUAGAGGUGAAAUUCUUGGAUUUACUGAAGACUAACUACUGCGAAAGCAUUUGCCAAGGAUGUUUUCAUCG